Molecule: transfer RNA, 72 nt
Filed under: Saccoglossus kowalevskii
Lineage: Eukaryota; Metazoa; Hemichordata; Enteropneusta; Harrimaniidae
Description: tRNA-Pro
Rfam family: tRNA
About the family: Transfer RNA (tRNA) molecules are approximately 80 nucleotides in length. Their secondary structure includes four short double-helical elements and three loops (D, anti-codon, and T loops).
Source: RNAcentral
GGCUUGUUGGUCUAGUGGUACGAUUCCUGUUUCGGGUGCAGGAGGUCCCGGGUUCGAACCCUGCACAAGCCC